RNAcentral lists this ribosomal RNA (500 nucleotides) under uncultured bacterium. RNAcentral's name for it is "partial 16S ribosomal RNA". It matches the Rfam family "Bacterial small subunit ribosomal RNA", at positions 30 to 523 of the family's 1533-position model. The record is from RNAcentral.
AUUGAACGCUGGCGGAAUGCUUUACACAUGCAAGUCGAACGGCAGCACGGACUUCGGUCUGGUGGCGAGUGGCGAACGGGUGAGUAAUGUAUCGGAACGUGCCCAGUCGUGGGGGAUAACGUAGUGAAAAUUACGCUAAUACCGCAUACGAUCUAUGGAUGAAAGCGGGGGACCGCAAGACCUCGCGCGACUGGAGCGGCCGAUAUCAGAUUAGGUAGUGGGUGGGGUAAAGGCCCACCAAGCCAACGAUCUGUAGCUGGUCUGAGAAGACGACCAGCCAAACUGGAACUGAGACACGGUCCAGACUCCUACGGGAGGCAGCAGUGGGGAAUUUUGGACAAUGGGCGAAAGCCUGAUCCAGCCAUUCCGCGUGCAGGAUGAAGGCCCUCGGGUUGUAAACUGCUUUUGUACAGAACGAAAAGGUUUCUACUAAUACUAGGAGCUCAUGGCGGUACUGUAAGAAUAAGCACCGGCUAACUACGUGCCAGCCGCCGCGGUAA